RNAcentral lists this ribosomal RNA (541 nucleotides) under uncultured bacterium. RNAcentral describes it as "bacterial SSU rRNA". It matches the Rfam family "Bacterial small subunit ribosomal RNA", at positions 355 to 896 of the family's 1533-position model. The record is from RNAcentral.
UAAGGAAUAUUGGUCAAUGGACGCAAGUCUGAACCAGCCAUGCCGCGUGGAGGAUGAAGGUCCUCUGGAUUGUAAACUUCUUUUAUUUGGGAAGAAACCCACGAUUUCUAUUGUGGUUGACGGUACCAGAUGAAUAAGCACCGGCUAACUCCGUGCCAGCAGCCGCGGUAAUACGGAGGGUGCAAGCGUUAUCCGGAUUCACUGGGUUUAAAGGGUGCGUAGGCGGGUUGGUAAGUCCGUGGUGAAAUCUCCAAGCUUAACUUGGAAACUGCCGUGGAUACUAUCAAUCUUGAAUUUAGUGGAGGUGAGCGGAAUAUGUCAUGUAGCGGUGAAAUGCUUAGAUAUGACAUAGAACACCCAUUGCGAAGGCAGCUCGCUACACUAUUAUUGACGCUGAGGCACGAAAGCGUGGGGAUCAAACAGGAUUAGAUACCCUGGUAGUCCACGCCCUAAACGAUGAUUACUCGACAUCAGCGAUACACUGUUGGUGUCUGAGCGAAAGCAUUAAGUAAUCCACCUGGGAAGUACGACCGCAAGGUUG